UCACGUACGUUUCUUCAAACCGCCAUCUCUCUCUCUUCUUUUUCCAUUUUUAUUUGAUCUUCCAUACACGCACAUUAUUCACAUUCAUCUUCCACCGCUUUCUCUCUCAUCUUGAUUUUCAGAAAAUACUGAUUCCAAUUUUAGGGUUCUUCCAUUCCAGUAUUGUUGAUUGCAUCUAUGGCGAUUUUUCAAAUCCUAGGUUUUUUAUCUAAGUCUAAUUGAUGACAGGGAUGUUCGUGUUCAACUACAGACCAUCAAUUCAAAAACCCUAAUCAUCGGUCACCUGGUUGAUUCCGAAGGCUGAGUGAUGGAGCUGGUAACAAAUCAGACUUUCAAUUAUCGUUAUUUAGUGGGUUGCAGCUGCGAUGGGGUCGAUUUAAAGGUGGCACGGUGGUAGAUUUGAGGCAAAUCUAGGUCACGACAGAAAUUGAGAGCACUGAUCAACAGAGAAGCCAUGCCCGUACAGUGGGAAAAGUUUGUCCAAUUGUGGAAAUUGAAGCUAGAGACCAUAUCUGGUGUGCUAAAUACCUCCUUGAGCUUGCUAUGGUUUUCUGAGGUUUGUUAUGGACAAUGGAGCUAAAGGGUUCGAGGUGAUUGUUAGAAGAAAGCUUAGGGCCUGGCGUGCACUAUGAUGAUUGAUGGUCUAAGAAAUAGUUUAACUCAUGCAUGGUAAAAUUAUAGGGGGGUUAUUUCGGUUUUAUUGGGUUAUCAUGAGCCCGACUUAUGGUGUUAAAAAUGUCCGUUCGAAUAUUAAUAUUUGGGGCCACCUUUGCGUUUACAUCUGCCUUCUUAAAAAUGAUAUCGCGGUCUACAGGUCAUUUCUAUUCUCAUCUUUGUAUUAGCAGUUUAUCAAACCUAGAGGAAUUAGGUAACAGUUGAUUGGGAUAUUAAUCAUACGCCUGUUCUUUUCGUUAAGAACUCUAAAUGCAAAAGUUGAGUCUUGAAAUUUUACCUCAUUGACCUGGUAAAACUUUUUAUUUUGUUAUUUGUACUGCCAUUUACUUUGUUAUUUGUACUGCCAUUUACUUUGUUAUUUGAUCGAUUAUGCACUUCUUUAUCUCAAAUCAAUACCGAUUAAAGUUUGCAUUCGCCUGCAAAAUUGGUGAAGCUGAGAUAAUUCUGUGUAAACUGGGAAAUUGAAAUUUUGGUCUCCACAGAUAGUGUAAAACAGUAUUUAAACUAUCUGAAUAGGCCUAUGUCUCAUCCUAUGAUGUACACACUUGAACUCUGGUUGUUUUUAAAAAUAACACAUAAUAUAAAGUAUUAGUUUAUUAUGGAUAAGGCAUGGUUUAAUGUUGUUUCUAAUUUGUUUUUUUUCCCUUGCAGUAGUACUUAUGGAAGCAUACCUUCCCUAUUGGGACAUAGGUGUGUAGUACAAUCAUCUAUACCUUAUAUUAAAACAAAACAUCUUUGGGCACUUGGCAUUCACUUAUACUACUCAUUGCCUGUAAUCAAGUUCCUGCAGCAGGUGCACUUGGUAUGGGUGACCAAUGAUCUGCUCAAAUUCCAAAUGCUUAGUGGGCUGGUGACAUGGCACCACCGUUGCUCAAGGUGCAAGUGGUUGAAGGUUAGACUCAACGAUAUGAGAAGACAUAGAUGUGGCAGAAUAUAGUUUGGCCAUACUUAAAAAAAAUCACCAGACUUGAAGCUUGAAAGAAAAAUCAAAAUUCGAAACUGGUUUGGCUCUACGCGGAUGUUGUAGUUUCAAGUAUGAGGAACGGUUUUGGGAAUCGGUGUGGAGGGCAUAUUUAUGAUGGCUAUGAGUACGCGAUGACGCCACUCAAUGACCCAAGUAUGUAUGAUGCAGCUUAUAGAGCUUAUCCAAUGUAUGUCAUUCAUCAACAAGUCAACUAAAUGAGAUCAUGGCCAAGCAGAGGAUUCUCUUCAGGCUUCAGUACCAGCCUUCUUAAUACCUCACCACCUAAUUGACUCGGUUCAAGGGAGAUGGGCAUGAAAAUUACCAGUAGUUAGUGGGUUGAGCUGGAAAACGAGUGCCGAUGGAAAUGGGUAUUUUGGUACGGCUAACAACCGGCCGGGUUGGGUUUGGAGUUGAGCAAGAGUACACUUUGCUUCAACCAGAUGUGAAGUGGCCUUUGGGAUGGCCUGUUGGAGGCUACCCUGGUCCACAGGGUCUAUACUACUGUGGUGCUGGAGCGGAUAAGUCAUUUGGAAGAGACAUAUUAGAUGCACAUUACAAGGCUUGCUUAUAUGCCGGAAUUAACAUCAGUGGAACCAACGAAGAAGUUAUGCCUGGACAGCAUCACAAGAAGCUAAAAGUUCUGGACUUGGGAGACUUAUUAUUGGAUGGUGGUGAAGAGAGUGUAGAUGGAGAUCCAAACAUGUCAAUGAACUUGCUUUAUGUUGUUGGCACGGUCAAUGUUGCGUAUCUUGAUGAACUUCGGAAGGCGAGGCUUAAUCUCGACAUUAGUGACUCAAAAGGAAUAACCCCUUUUGUAAUCUAAUUAUCUAUUUAUACUAUCAUCUUUCUAAUAGCGAUCUAUUGGGAUGGAGGAAACGUCUGCCACAUCUCACCCUUCCCAGCCCUACUUUAUGAGCAACUAAAACUGAAAAGCUCAAUAGGACAGUUGAUCUCAUGCCUGGGUGGUUGAGCAUGAAGAAUCCAAUAAAAUGAACGCCAGAAACAUAAGCAUGGUUAUCGCCCAACAUGACUCAGGUAGAAAGAAGACUGGGUAGCCAACCAACCUAAAAAUAUAAAAUUGAACAACAAAUCGGUAUCAGGAUCUGCCUUCAGUACAUUUAUCAGAUUGGAUCUUGCUUCAGCAAACACGUUUUUGAUCCCCAAGGUUAUGACAUGGGCACAUGGCUGACUAUUAUGAUGAUACAAAGGCUGAUCUCAAGAGGGAGUCAGAGAGAAAAAAAGAGCAAAAGAAAAAGAAAAACUAGAAAACCGAGUUUCUGUCUGGUGGAACACAGGCUGCAGUAGCUAUUCCGACAUCAAAAGUCCUUCCAAUUCAAGGUCGUUUCGGGUCGAGUACGGGACAAGUCGGUCAUGGAUCAGGAGAUUAGCGGGACACGUAUGAUGGGCCAACAUGUACGGGCCUGGUUAUGGAGCCAAAUAGCUUGAGGUUUUGCUUUACAUAAUAUAUUUUAGUCUGUUAUACAUGAGGUUUUGCUUUGUGUGUGAAAGGCACAAAGCCAUUGCAAUGGUUGUGGCCUAUGUCAUUAAAGCGGUUUAUGAGGAUCAAAUCUUUUUAGUAGAAUAUGAAUCAUCAGUUUAUGAUGGGUUAAUGUUUAAAUGAUCUUAAGCUGCUCUUGAUAUUAGCUUAUCGAGUCAAUUUUUUUAGUAUGAAUUUGUACUUUUCUUCUAGCACAUUGUAGCUUGCACUUGGCCUCAUCAUUAACUCACACACUGUUGUGUUGAACCCAUUAGUACAUUUGUCAGAUUGGAUCUUGCUUCAGCAAACACGUUUUUGAUCCCCAAGGUUAUGAAAUGGGCACAUGGCUGACUAUUAUGAUGAUAUAAGUAACGCACUGUAAAUUUUGUUGACCCCACCCCUACCUAUGUGUUCUACGCAUCAUUGUUUAUUUAUUUUUAAUAGAGGAUGAUCUCAAGAGGGAGUCAGAGAGAAAAAAAGAGCAAAAGAAAAAGAAAAACUAGAAAACCGAGUUUCUGUCUGGUGGACCACAGGCUGCAGUAGCUAUUCCGACAUUAAAAGUCCUUCCAAUUCAAGGUCGUUUCGGGUCGAAUACGGGACAAGUCGGUCAUGGAUCAGGAUAUUAGCGGUACACGUAUGAUGGGUCGACAUGUACGGGCCUUGUUAUGGAGCCAAAUAGCUUGAAUGGGUCGGAUAAGUGUUAAGUUAUAACAGAUCAGGAGUAUCAUGGUUGCCUUCUAUUUUGAGUAUCAUUAUGCCUAAUCUUAAAAAAUGUUUUGGAGUAAAUUAAACCGAUGGUCAAUGGAAUGGUCAAAGUUCAUAGAUGGUCAAGUGGAAAAGUCAUAUCAUUUCUUUGUUUAUUCAUCAUUGACUGUUUAAUCAUAUCUUAUUUUUAACUAAUUUAAUCAUAUCUUAUGUUUAAUUAUGAUAUGGGUACCAAUGAUACUGGACAAGCCAUACCAUCAGAUACCGGUAAAUGGUAAUAUUACUAUACUAUUGUUUUGUUUAUGCAUAUGUAAUUGGUGGCUGACUCGGUUUAUGCCAUGCAGGCUGACACGGUUAUUGGUAAUAUUAUGUUUGUGUUGCAAAAAAAAAAAAAAAAAAAAAAAAAAAAAAAA
Molecule: long non-coding RNA, 4234 nt
Organism: Helianthus annuus (common sunflower)
Lineage: Eukaryota; Viridiplantae; Streptophyta; Magnoliopsida; Asterales; Asteraceae
Exons: 19
Source: RefSeq, a predicted model, not a curated record